UUAGGUCAAGAAAAUGUGACCUUUGGGCUUCUGAACCUCUCUUCUCCUUUCUCUCACGACGGCGACGGUGGGUUCUUUCUUCUCCGACGAGAUUCUCAUCGCUCAUCCUCACCUUACGAACAAACACUUCCGUCCUCUAUCUGAACCUCUUUCUCCGUCUUCUCUCACUCUCAGACUUUGAUUCGUUAAUCGCUCACAAAAUGCACUCACACGUCGAAUUUAGGGGAGAAGAAGAACACGAUUUGUCCACCGAAUGUACACUCCGGCGAAUUUGACGACGGAACCAAGAAAACCAGAGGAGCCUAGAUUAUUCAGUGAAAUUUCUUGAAGAAGAUUUGAUGAUGAACGUGAUGGUAAUCGACGAUUGGAGAUGCGUUGAAGAAGAUUUUGAGGAUGCGGAGAAGAUGAUUAUUGCAGGUUCUGAGUCUUUUGUGCGUAGUGAUUGAAGAUUCGUGAAUGAUUUCUUAGAAUGUGGGGUUCUGAGAUUGAAACGUGAAGGGAGAAGAUUGGAGAAUUCUGAUUGAAGGUGAGAACGAUGAAGAUAAAAAUGAUGAGAGAGUUUGAAUGAAGGUGGAGGUUCGGAUUUUAUAGCAGUGUAGGAAAGAGUCGAAUGGCUAAAAGGUUUGUGAAUGUACACUUGUGCGGGCUGCUGCUUGAUGGUUGUAUGUUUGGAGUUGCCGGUUUUCCAAUG
Vicia villosa (hairy vetch) is the source of this 691-nucleotide long non-coding RNA. RefSeq lists it as uncharacterized. Lineage: Eukaryota; Viridiplantae; Streptophyta; Magnoliopsida; Fabales; Fabaceae. The transcript is spliced from 3 exons. The record is from RefSeq and is a predicted model, not a curated record.